This 433-nucleotide ribosomal RNA is filed under the name uncultured bacterium. RNAcentral describes it as "partial 16S ribosomal RNA". It matches the Rfam family "Bacterial small subunit ribosomal RNA", at positions 29 to 507 of the family's 1533-position model. The record is from RNAcentral.
AACGAACGCUGGCGGCAUCCCUAACACAUGCAAGUCGAACGAGACCUUCGGGUCUAGUGGCGCACGGGUGCGUAACGCGUGGGAACCUGCCCUUAGGUUCGGAAUAACUCCCUGAAAGGGGUGCUAAUACCGGAUAAUGUCUUCGGACCAAAGAUUUAUCGCCUUUGGAUGGGCCCGCGUUGGAUUAGCUAGUUGGUAGGGUAAAAGCCUACCAAGGCGACAAUCCAUAGCUGGUCUGAGAGGAUGAUCAGCCACACUGGGACUGAGACACGGCCCAGACUCCUACGGGAGGCAGCAGUGGGGAAUAUUGGACAAUGGGCGAAAGCCUGAUCCAGCAAUGCCGCGUGAGUGAUGAAGGCCUUAGGGUUGUAAAGCUCUUUUACCCGGGAUGAUAAUGACAGUACCGGGAGAAUAAGCUCCGGCUAACUCCGUG